CAUCAUCGUCAUCAUUACCAUCACCAUCAUCAUCACCAUCAACAUCAUCUAAUCCAGCAGCUUCCACUGUGAUCUCGGUGUCUGUAAUUCUGCUGCUGCUUCUGAUUGGAAUCAUAUUCCUCACUUUCACUCUUCAAAAGAGACGCAGGAUGCACGGUACAUAAACUCAAACACAUGAUAAAAUGCUUAAUAUAAACAUGUAUCUUGUAAUGCAGAUGCAAAUGCAACUAAAACAGCAUUUAUUAAAUCCAUACAGAGAAAUCUAAAUAAUAAAAAAAAACCUUAUUGUCAACACAGAUCCAGUUCAUGUAAGAUAGUUAAUGUAACACGGUCCUACUAGUGUGUAGCACUCUUAUAACCAACCCUAGGUCACUGCAUAAAACACUCGUGGAACCACGCCAACCACUGGGGAUUCUUAUGGACCAGAAUCAGAAGAUAAGGGUCGUCUCACAGAAGCAAAGGUACGAAGUGAUGGAAUGGCUCGCCAGUCCCGGCCGGAAUACGAAUAUUCAGCAAGGACAGGAUUCAGGAACAAUUUUCACAAAAAAAUAAAAACCCAGCCAAGGAGAAGAAUAAAUCAGGAAAAAAAAUGAAGUUGUUUUUUUCCCAGAAAAGAUUUAUAUUGUAUUGCGUCAGUCUCAUCAAUUCCCGUUCAAACGAGCACACAAUACUGUUAAUUUGUGCAAUCGCGGUUUCUCUCGGUCAAGUUCACUCUCAUUCUACCUGCUUGUCUGCUAACGUUCGGCAAGGGGCGGGACUAACCUUUCACCUCGCCAAUGAGCAAUCGGCUCAAAAAAUUUAAAUUUAAAUUUAUAAAGAAAUUUUCCUGCAUUUUUCUUCUUUCUUUUUCUAUAUAUUUAUACAUUUUAUAAAAAUAAUAAUUAUAUAAAAUGGCAAUAAAAUGCUAGUGACCUAGGUUAAUGACCUGGGUUACAUUAAGUACAACACAUACUUAUUAAUUAUUUCCAGCACCUUUUGCUACAGCAGUUUUACCUUGUCUUUUGGGAGUCUAUCAGUUUAGCACUGACUUUUGGACCAGUUUUGUUAAGCAAACGUGUCCUACUGUAGAUCUGUUAUAUUGUGAGAUAAUCUCCUGCCACAGACACCAAAAAUACUUUCUAUUGAUUACUAUUCUAUUAGUCGCGUUCAGUUUU
Molecule: long non-coding RNA, 1154 nt
Organism: Silurus meridionalis
Lineage: Eukaryota; Metazoa; Chordata; Actinopteri; Siluriformes; Siluridae
Exons: 3
Source: RefSeq, a predicted model, not a curated record